Molecule: long non-coding RNA, 2561 nt
Organism: Gopherus evgoodei (Goodes thornscrub tortoise)
Lineage: Eukaryota; Metazoa; Chordata; Testudines; Testudinidae
Exons: 4
Source: RefSeq, a predicted model, not a curated record
UAAAGAGAAAAGGGCUAUGUGGAGGGUCUCAGUGAGCCUCUGAGGCUAGCAUAAACCGCCUGGAAGCGCGGGACCCACAGGGACAAGGUCGGAGCUCUACCACACAGUGUACACUUUGAAACAACUCCAUUGUGUUUGUCAAUGAUCCUCAGUAGUAAUCAUAAAGGUACAGCAAAUAAUACAAAAUUAGUAGGCGCAUUGUCAGUGUUACAUUCAUAAUGUGCACCGAGCAGUUCAUAAGACCCCCAAACUGCAGGGGCAGGUAGAACCCAGUACACCACAACACAUUACAGUGACCCACUCUUAGAGCUCUUUCAAAGCCUCCUUGAGCCAUAUAGCUUCACAGCUUUUUAGCUUUUUUGGUAGCUCUUGUAUCUAUCUAGACAGCGACUCCACCGCGACCCUGGAGGCAACUUUUCCUCCUUUGCCUCACAGAUAUUACGCAGGAUCCAGCAGGCAGCUAUAACCACUAGAAUAUUUUUCUCACUCAACUCCAGUCUUGUGAGUAAACCACUCCAGGGCCCUUUCCAUCUACUAAAAGCACAUUCAACGGUCAUUCAGCACCUACUGAGCUGGUAGUUGAACUUUUCUUGAUGCUGUCAUGGUGAUUGGUGUAUGGCUUCAUGAGCCAAGGGAAUAAGGAGUAGGGUGGGUCCCCAGGAUCACUAUUGGCAUUUCAACAUUGUCAAUAGUAAUCAUCUGGUUGGGAAAGAAACUCCCUGCUUGUACCUUUCUGAACAGUGCUGUGUUCUUAGAGAUGCAAGCAGCAUGCACCUUCCCUUGACCAGACAACACUGAUGUUGGUGAAGUGUCACCAGUGAGCCACCAACGCUUGCAUAACCAUAUGAAAAUAGCCUUUUCUGUUUGACAUACUCUGUGAUAAGGUGGUCUUGUGCCGAAAUAGGGAUAAGCAUGCUGUCUGUGGCUCCACCGCUGUUUGUGAACCCCAUUGCUGCAAAGCCAUCCAGUAUGUCUUGCACAAUGCCAAGAGUCACAGUCCUACUUGAUUAGUAGCCAGGCACACUUGCAUGACAGCAAUCCCCACACUGGAUUUGCCAACUCCAAAGUGAUUUCUCACUGACUGGUAGCAAUCUGGCAUUGCAAAUUUCCACAGUGCGAUUGCCGUUUGCUUCACCACUAUCUGUGCAGCUCUCAUUCUGGUGUCCUUGUGCUGGAGGGCUGGGGUGAGCUUGGCACAUGAAUCCAGCAGUGUGGCCUUGAUGGAUCCAAAAUUUCUUUAGCCACCACUGCUCAUGAUCCCCAACUUGCAUUAUGAUGGAUCCCACCAGUCAGUGCUUGUUUCUUGGGCCCAGAAGUGGUGCUCUUCUGUUUGUAGCUGCUCCUUGAAUGCCACUAACAAUCUUGAAUUGGUUCUCCCUCUGUUCCACAGCAGUCUGAUCUCCAGGAAAUCAUCAUAUUCCCUGCAGCAAUUCUUGUGGCUCUACAGAUACUGGCGGAUCGGGCAUCCGGUGCUUGCAACACUCGUGACAAUAGUGCAGAGCUGUGCAGGCUCCAUACUUCUGUCAGAGAUGGCAGACAGUGACAAGUCCCACUCAGGAGCUCGAAUCCCAUCUCCAGUACAGAAGUGGCCUGUCAAGGAAACUGAGGCAGAAUUUGCUGGAUGAUGUAAUGGGACUGUAACCUUCAAGUUAAACUAAAGAUAAGUGUCCCUGUUAUGAUGACAGCUUGUACAUUUAUGGGAUUUGAAACAGACUCAUGAUCCAUCUUCCAGCAUCCUGCCUCCAAUAGAGGACAAUGCCAGAUGUCUCACCAAAAGGCUAUCUAGAUAGUGAAGCACAUGCAGUUGCUAUAUGGUUGACAUGGCUGCAUACUUCGAAGAGAGAAGCACCUGCAUUUUAGAAGGAUUUCUUUUAAAGGUAAAUUAUGCUUGUCUGCAUAUAAACUCUGUGAGGCCAGCAAAUGACAGAUUCAUGUACUUGUUUAAUAUGAAUUGUAAUCAGUAAGGACCAGAGCUUAUUCACACUGGAGUUAAGAAGAGUUUGGACAUUAGCUUCAUUGAGAGCAGGAUUCAGUGAUGAUAAUACCUUGCUCUUAUGUAGCACUCUCCAUCAGGAGAUCUCAAAGCCCUUUACAAAAGAAGUAGUAUUAUGCUAAUUUCAUAUAUGAGGAAAAUGACUUGCCUAAGGUCACUCCACAGGCCAAGUUGGGGGCAGAAGCCAGGACUCCUAGGCCAGUAUGCUAGCUACUAGGCCACUGCCUCUCACAGAUAAGUGAAUACAAACUACUUAGAAAUUGCUUACGUUUCUGCCUUUUCUUUUUAAAGGGCCUUAACAAAUGCUAAUAAUGGCCCAGGUAUAUCCGCCAUGACAAUGCAUGGCUGUUCUAUAGCAUAAAACAUUUCAAGGGUCCUAAAGUGCUUUGUCCAUUUAUUAAAGCUAGACUCAGGACCACUGAAGCCAAUGGAAGUUUUGCCAUUGACUUCAGUAGAAGGAGGUUCAGGCCCUAAGCCUCUCAUCCCCUUGAGGUUGGUGGUAUUAUGUGUAUCUGACAGAUGGGUAAACUGAGGCACAAAGGGUCAGGGCCUGAUUUUCAGAGGCACU